AUGCAAGUCGAACGAUGAAGCGCCAGCUUGCUGGUGUGGAUUAGUGGCGAACGGGUGAGUAACACGUGAGUAACCUGCCCCCUACUCUGGGAUAAGCCUGGGAAACUGGGUCUAAUACUGGAUAUGACCAAUCACUGCAUGGUGUGUUGGUGGAAAGAUUUUUUGGUGGGGGAUGGACUCGCGGCCUAUCAGCUUGUUGGUGGGGUAAUGGCCUACCAAGGCGACGACGGGUAGCCGGCCUGAGAGGGCGACCGGCCACACUGGGACUGAGACACGGCCCAGACUCCUACGGGAGGCAGCAGUGGGGAAUAUUGCACAAUGGGCGAAAGCCUGAUGCAGCGACGCCGCGUGAGUGAUGACGGCCUUCGGGUUGUAAACCUCUUUCACCAGGGACGAAGCUAACGUGACGGUACCUGGAGAAGAAGCACCGGCUAACUACGUGCCAGCAGCCGCGGUAAUACGUAGGGUGCGAGCGUUGUCCGGAAUUAUUGGGCGUAAAGAGCUUGUAGGCGGUUUGUCGCGUCUGCUGUGAAAGACCGGGGCUUAACUCCGGUUCUGCAGUGGGUACGGGCAGACUAGAGUAUGGUAGGGGAGACUGGAAUUCCUGGUGUAGCGGUGAAAUGCGCAGAUAUCAGGAGGAACACCGAUGGCGAAGGCAGGUCUCUGGGCCAUUACUGACGCUGAGAAGCGAAAGCAUGGGGAGCGAACAGGAUUAGAUACCCUGGUAGUCCAUGCCGUAAACGUUGGGCGCUAGGUGUGGGGCUCAUUCCACGAGUUCCGUGCCGCAGCUAACGCAUUAAGCGCCCCGCCUGGGGAGUACGGCCGCAAGGCUAAAACUCAAAGGAAUUGACGGGGGCCCGCACAAGCGGCGGAGCAUGCGGAUUAAUUCGAUGCAACGCGAAGAACCUUACCAAGGCUUGACAUACACCGGAAUCAUGCAGAGAUGUGUGCGUCUUCGGACUGGUGUACAGGUGGUGCAUGGUUGUCGUCAGCUCGUGUCGUGAGAUGUUGGGUUAAGUCCCGCAACGAGCGCAACCCUCGUUCCAUGUUGCCAGCACGUGAUGGUGGGGACUCAUGGGAGACUGCCGGGGUCAACUC
This 1098-nucleotide ribosomal RNA is filed under the name Dermacoccus barathri. Its description in RNAcentral is "bacterial SSU rRNA". It matches the Rfam family "Bacterial small subunit ribosomal RNA", at positions 55 to 1164 of the family's 1533-position model. The record is from RNAcentral. Lineage: Bacteria; Bacillati; Actinomycetota; Actinomycetes; Micrococcales; Dermacoccaceae.